GAUAAAUGCGUCCUAUAGAAGAAUGUAAAUAGAAACAUGUAUAUAUUCAUGUGUAUAUUCAAACACAUGUAUGCAAACAUAGAUGAUAUUUUUCACUUCAAGAGAUAUCGCCUGGGUCAAGGUAAAUGACAAAUUCUGAUUUUUACUUUGGAGAAAAGAAGCAAGAAAACAAAAAGCCGAAAAAAAUUGAAAUUUUAGGUAUAUUAAUAAGCUGUGAGAGUAGAAUCGUUUCUAUAUUUGAAAAAGUGAAUAUUGGUGUAGAAAUCUUGUUUGAAAAAAUAUUUAUACAAUCAUUAGUAGAUUUUAUAUAUUUAAAAAAAGAGAAGUAUGUAUAGUAAAUUCUGGCAUCGAUACUACUCCUACUACUUCUACUACUACUAGUACUACGUCUGCCUGGAGUUAACGCCGAUGAAAAGACUGCCUUUGAAAAUGUGGAGCCCAGGAUGAUAGCGAAGCAAAUGCUUCUUUCAUGCUUUGAUAAAGAGAGUAGAUGCAAGAGAGGAAAGCAGCAGGCCGUCAUGUUUUGUUGAUAUCGCAGUCAAGUGAAUUAAGCAAUUUGAAAAGAGAGAAGGGAUGAUCGUGAUGAGAAAAUGUGCAGCCAACGUGUGAGAAACGUGUCGUCUUUGACAUCGUUCACUUAUAAGGAGAAAAGGUACAAAUGGAAAAUUUGAGCAGCUGACUUUAUUCGAGGAAUAUAAGAAGAUCGCAAUGGCUGCAGGUUGGUCUGUGAGCUUUGUAAUGAGCGAGGAAGGCAUUGAUGUUAGAUUAGUCUUAAAUUAUCAGCGAUAAGCUGAGAGUUUAUGAACCGGAUAGAUACUGUAACCAAGUUGAGAUGAUAUAUGUGUUACGUUUCUUCAUUCUUUUUCCACCAAUAACUCAUUCCAUUAAGCGUCAAUAUUAUGGAAAAUUAUCAAGUGUCAAAUACUGAAAUUAAUAAUAGCUUCCGAACCCUUGUAGCAAUUUUAUGAAUGAAUUUGUGCCGUAAUGACAGACAGUUACCAUAUAUAUUAUAGAACUGAAAAUAUCGCAUAUCAUUGCUAAGAAAAAGUGUAAAUCUUAUUUAUUUAAUUUGUUUAAUUAUCUUAAUUCAUUGAAUUCUUAAUGGGUACAGAGCGCGUUUCAAUUGAGUUUAAUGAAGUAGUAUGUCUAGUCCCUGUAAUAAGUAAUUCAACAAUUUCGUUCCCGUAUAAUUCUGCGAGUGAUCAUUAUUGGCUGAAUCCAGCGAUCAUGACGUGAACUUUUACAGCCAACUUUAACCAAGUUUUAUAUCGAUGAUAUUCUUGCAACUGAAUAUUGAUUAUUAUUCAUUUCCUUUUAGAUAAAAAUCAGCAAUCGUGUAAAAUUAAUUGCUAUUAACGUAAAUUCACGUGUAUCGAAAUGGUUUUACCAAUUAUGCAUUAUUUGUCAAAGUAUAUCGACCAAGUAUUGAUCUCAGUACCGUAAUUGGUAUUUUUUAAAUUUCAAUUGAGAAAGUACAAUGUAUUUCAAUUCUUAUUUUUAGGAAGUCUAAAUUUAUCACUUAGUUUAGACACGUGUUCGUAUAUUUAUUUAGAUAAACAGAAUUUUUUUUCUUUUUUUUAUAUCGACCGCCACCUGCUAGUUAUAUUUUAGCCUUUAUUUAUAUUAAUUAUACAUUUAUACAGAGAGUCGAUCGUUGUUCUAUGACACGGCACAUGUAAGCGUGAAUACUACAUCACAUAUUUAUUCAACGCACAAAUUACUGUGACGACGUCGCUGACAAAUAAUAAGUUAUUAACCUCAUUCACGAUAUUUAUAAUUUAAAAUGCUCAACAAUAAGUAUGACAAUUUUGCACCUUUUAGUACUUAGGAAAUUGAUCAUUCGUCUUUGGCGAUAUUAAAAGAAAACCCAUAAGUCUGAUAAUUUUAGUUCGGUUCCUUAUUAUGUAGGUAUAACAUGUGUAGCCGUUAGUUUAUUUAUUUAUUUGUCAAUGUUGCUUGUCAUCGACUUCAGGUUUAUAG
Molecule: long non-coding RNA, 1980 nt
Organism: Diprion similis
Lineage: Eukaryota; Metazoa; Arthropoda; Insecta; Hymenoptera; Diprionidae
Exons: 3
Source: RefSeq, a predicted model, not a curated record